RNAcentral lists this ribosomal RNA (155 nucleotides) under uncultured bacterium. RNAcentral's name for it is "partial 16S ribosomal RNA". It matches the Rfam family "Bacterial small subunit ribosomal RNA", at positions 355 to 507 of the family's 1533-position model. The record is from RNAcentral.
UGAGGAAUAUUGGACAAUGGGCGCAAGCCUGAUCCAGCCAUGCCGCGUGCAGGAUGACGGUCCUAUGGAUUGUAAACUGCUUUUAUACGAGAAGAAACACCUCUACGUGUAGAGACUUGACGGUAUCGUAAGAAUAAGGAUCGGCUAACUCCGUG